Microplitis mediator is the source of this 728-nucleotide long non-coding RNA. RefSeq lists it as uncharacterized. The transcript has 4 exons. NCBI's taxonomy places the organism in Eukaryota, Metazoa, Arthropoda, Insecta, Hymenoptera, Braconidae. The record is from RefSeq and is a predicted model, not a curated record.
CAUAAUAUUCAAGAACCCACGCUGUCAUAUGUAUAAUAUUAAAUUGUUAUUAAAAAAAUGAUUAAUUGAUUUUUAUUUAAUUAAAAAAAAUUUUUAUUAGUUUCUUGUUUAAAAUAAAGUUCAACAGAUCAGUGACACAUGGGCAUUAAGGGUGUCAAUAAUUGGAGCAACAGCAUGUCAAUAGUUAGAUCAGUCGGGUUUUUAACCUGUCAAUAAUUGGUGUAUCCGGUGUCAAUAAUUGGUGCUUUUACUUUAAUUGAAAAAAUGAAAUUUUAAAAAAGCUGCAUUUACAUUCAUUAUGUAUGGAGACUAUAUACAGGAGACCAAACUCGUAUUAUAUACUCAAUUUAAAUGUCAAAAUAUCAAAGACCUAAGCUCACUAUGUACUAGUAAUUUUUCUCAUAAUUAAUAUUUUCUGAAACCCCUUCGGAGUAAAAUUCACUCCGAGGGAAUUAAAUAAAUAAAAAAUCAUCCACUUCGCAAAUUUUUUGGUGUAGCAAUUUUGUUAUAAUUUAUUUAAGGGUAUUCUCUUUUUAAUAAUAUGCAAUGACUUUCAACUGUCAUAACUGUAUUAAAAUUUUAUUAAUUAAUUAAAAAAAAAAAUUAAAGCAUUAACUGAAAUAAGGACAACGCAGUUACAACUUUGCCGAGAUCGAGAAUUUUUAAAAAAUUACUUACAGGUGACAUUAAUUGGGAGUUAAACAAAAUUUGUUGAAUAAAUUUCAGUA